This 467-nucleotide ribosomal RNA is filed under the name uncultured bacterium. RNAcentral describes it as "partial 16S ribosomal RNA". It matches the Rfam family "Bacterial small subunit ribosomal RNA", at positions 28 to 506 of the family's 1533-position model. The record is from RNAcentral.
GACGAACGCUGGCGGCGUGCUUAACACAUGCAAGUCGAACGGAAAGACCCUGCUUUUGUGGGGUGCUCGAGUGGCGAACGGGUGAGUAACACGUGAGUAACCUGCCCUUGACUUUGGGAUAACUUCAGGAAACUGGGGCUAAUACCGGAUAGGAGCUCCUGCUGCAUGGAGGGGGUUGGAAAGUGUCGGCGGUUGGGGAUGGACUCGCGGCUUAUCAGCUUGUUGGUGGGGUAGUGGCUUACCAAGGCUUUGACGGGUAGCCGGCCUGAGAGGGUGACCGGCCACAGUGGGACUGGGAUACGGCCCAGACGCCUACGGGAGGCAGCAGUGGGGAAUAUUGCACAAUGGGCGGAAGCCGGAUGCAGCAACGCCGCGUGCGGGAUGACGGCCUUCGGGUUGUAAACCGCUUUCGCCUGUGACGAAGCGUGAGUGACGGUAAUGGGUAAAGAAGCACCGGCUAACUACGU